CGGCCAGAGACGCACAAGAAGCUGCAGGCUCUGCUUUAAACCAGACUACCGACACAGAACCAGAGCUGGAGGACGUGAUGAAACUGUUUGAGCUUUUAAAACAAAAAAACUCCAACCAGACGGUUCAGAGUGAAGCCAGAGAACGUCUGAAGAACAUCGUGGAGGAGGCGGAGAAGAUGAAGAAACAGGUGGAGGACAAACUGCAACAGAUACAAGAUCUGGAGCAGAAGAUCCAGAAGCUGAUCCAGAACAAAGAGAUCAAAGCGGCUGAGGUCUUCGUGUUGUUGGACACAGUGGAUUCACUUCGACGGGAAAUCUCCAAACGGGCCGAAGGAUACAUCACCUGUACCUCCUAAACACAGCUGACAGGGCUGGAGAGUAACUAGUUACAUGUAAUCUAAUUACAAAAUGAAGGUAACUGUAAUCUGUUACAGUUACUGGGAGAAAAUGUGUAAUUAAAUUACAGAUAUCUAUGAAAAUGUUC
RNAcentral lists this long non-coding RNA (484 nucleotides) under Sander lucioperca (pikeperch). RNAcentral describes it as "lncRNA (ENSSLUG00000021163.1)". Lineage: Eukaryota; Metazoa; Chordata; Actinopteri; Perciformes; Percidae. The record is from RNAcentral.